Molecule: long non-coding RNA, 1054 nt
Filed under: Solanum lycopersicum (tomato)
Lineage: Eukaryota; Viridiplantae; Streptophyta; Magnoliopsida; Solanales; Solanaceae
Description: partial TCONS_00166141
Source: RNAcentral
UGUAUUAUUUAUUUCUCGUUACUCUUCUUAUUUAAUUCCUUAAUUAGUAUUAUGGCUAAGAUAAUUAUUAUUAGUAGUAGAUUAUUACUUAUUAUUGCAACAGAAGUUUGUCCUUCAAAUUCAACAUAUGUGGUGAAGCGUCCAAUUCCUAAAGUGUUGGCAACCAUCAAUGAAGAAGAGUCUUAUGCUUGAACAAUGGUUUGGCCAAAUCAUUGAAACAAAAUACAACAUUACAUGCACAUCUCUUUAUUAAUUUUCAUGUAAAUUAAAUCUAUCAAGUCACUUCCAAAAUAGUAUAUAAUAUGGUAUGGGUCAGGGGUUUAUCAUGCAUGUGGUAUCAUGUACUGUCUCUUCUUCUUUAAACAAUAAUAUGAUAACGAAUUAAUGCCUACCAUGUAAUUUUAUCAAUGUUUGAAAUUGACAACUUUAUUAUUCAUUGUAUGCCCAUUAGGCCAUUAUAAGUUUUUCUAAUAUACUACUCUUGUUGGUCUUGAUAGGCUCACAAUGUCACAAUUCUUCACUUUGUAAUUUUUUUUCAUUUUUUAUGCUUCCUGUAUAAUUUAUUUUUUUUAAAAAAGAAAAACUUUUUUAUUGAUAGAAUAGAUGCGUCCGUUAGUAAUCAUUGCACCUAGUCCCUCAACAGAACAAUAGUGCAGAAAAUAAAUAGCUCAAAGUAAAUCAGACACGAAAUUUUUACAUGAAAACCUCCUUGCUCAAGGUAGGUGAAAACCACAAUCUGUACUCACAUGAUUUAUAACCAGACUCCAUUUCACUCAAAAUGGAGCAAAGCUUCAGAUUACAAACUCUCAUAACCUAGGAAUUAAAACUCUUUAAUCCCUUCUCUCUUAUUAUAGCAACUCUACGGUGAAAGAACUAACCAAUAACUCUAUUGCACACUAAACCAACUAACUCUACUUGAUCUAAACGUCAACUAACCAACAAGGCUAACUCUAACCACCAACUACAUAUCUCAAAGAUAGGAAUUUAAACAAGCAGCAGCUUUGUUGCACCGUACAUCAACUAACUCUAGUUGAAACUCCUAGGCAACUCUACC